Non-coding RNA from Misgurnus anguillicaudatus (oriental weatherfish), 5574 nucleotides. NCBI's taxonomy places the organism in Eukaryota, Metazoa, Chordata, Actinopteri, Cypriniformes, Cobitidae. The record is from RefSeq and is a predicted model, not a curated record.
GUGAAGUUGGCCCCCCACCCAACGCAAAACGUCGGCAAAAUAUGCUCAAUCGUUUGUGCUCCGUUUGUGCUGGUUUGUGCCGCAAAAAUUUUCGUUUGUGCUGCUUUGGUUUUUUAGAUAAUUAAAGAACAUUUAUAGGUCAUACUGAGGUCACGUAGCCCCCCAACAUGCUCCAAAUUUACCCAAAAUAGUCUUAAACGUUUGUGCUUCGUUUGUGCUGGUUUGUGCAGGUAAAAUUUUCGUUUGUGCUGCUUCGGUUUUUAUAAUAUUUGACAUUGAAAUAAGGUGAUGACGUCACUCAGCCCCCCCACAUGCUUCAAGUUCACCCAAAGUAUUCUUGUUUGAUUGUGCUACGUUUGUGCUGGUUUGUGCAGGUAAAAAUUUCGUUUGUGCAGUUUUCGUUUUUUAGAUAUUAUAAGAACAUUUAUAGGUCAUACAGAGGUCACUCAGCCCCCAACAUGCUCAAAAUUAACCCAAAAUAGUCUUAAUCGUUUGUGCUUCGUUUGUGCUGGUUUGUGCAGGUAAAAAUUUCGUUUGUGCAGUUUUCGUUUUUUAGAUAUUAAAACAUUUAUAGGUCAUACUGAGGUCACGUAGCCCCCAACAUGCUCCAAAUUUACCCAAAAUAGUCUCAAACGUUUGUGCUUCGUUUGUGCUGGUUUGUGCAGGUAAAAGUUUCGUUUGUGCUGCUUCGGUUUUUAAUAAUAUUUGAGAUUGAAUUAUGGUGAUGACGUCACUCAGACUCCCGCAUGCUUCAAGUUCACGCAAAACUAUUUUGUUCGUUUGUGCUUCGUUUGUGCUGGUUUGUGCAGGUAAAAGUUUCGUUUGUGCUGCUUCGGUUUUUAAUAAUAUUUGACAUUAAAUUAUGGCGAUGACGUCACUCAGACUCCUGCAUGCUUCAAGUUCACUCAAAACUAUAUUUGUUCGUUUGUGCUUCGUUUGUGCUGGUUUGUGCAGAUAAAAGUUUCGUUUGUGCUGCUUCGGUUUUUAUAAUAUUUGAGAUUGAAUUAUGGCGAUGACGUCACUCAGACUCCCACAUGCUUCAAGUUCACGCAAAACUAUAUUUGUUCGUUUGUGCUUCGUUUGUGCUGAUUUGUGCUGUAAAAAUGUACAGGUCUUAAUGAUCACUAACGCAGUUUCAACGUUUAAUGGACACAACGGGUCACAGGAUGUGUUGUUGAACAAGAAUUCUGAGGUAAGCGUUUUUAUGUGUUACAGAAUUGUUACGUAAAUAACAGUAGUAAUAUUAACAUACACACAACAUAAUCUGUUUGCCCUAGCUCUGUGUAUACAUAGGCUAUUUAUGUGUAAGGAGCUUAAAUGCAAAACCCAAAUGCAAAAAAAAGUUUGACUGACAUAUUUUCUUGCAAAUAUCAGACUUUUAACACACACACACACACACACACACACACACACACACACACACACACACACACACACACACACACACACACACACACACACACACACAUAUAUGGGGACUCAAUGAAUGAAUUAAGCCAAAAUGAUUUUACUUGUAAAAUAGAAUUACUGUGUAUUAGUGAACAUCAAAUAACAAUAAGAAUAAAACCUUUAAAAAUGUAAAAACUAUUAAUACUGACAAGCCACUGUCUGACUUCAAAACAAAAACACCACACAGAAUAAACUUGUGUGUAAACACCAGUAGGAAAACAAAGGUGUGUGUUACUUUACAGAAACUAAUUUAAAUAAAUUAAAUUACUCUUUUGUGUAUAAAACAGCAUGUGGACAUAUUUUGUUUUUUUCUGACACUCCUGUCAUUCCACUUCUCAGGUCAUCAUACAUCUCCCAGACACACGAAGACCUCCUGCAGUAGGCCACAUAAUGUCCAAUAGAAUUCUUGGUUAAGCCUCCUUUAAAAGCAACGACUGCCCUUAAAACAAAUCUCUCCCCUUGAAGCAUCAGGUUGGAAGAAAAUUCACACAAAGGAAAUUGGACUCUGGAUUUGCUUCCAAGAGUCUGUCUUGAAUGGAGAGGGGGACUGACUUUGGAUUGGCCUGAGGCAGGGGGACUUUGGAAGGUUAAGCCCUUCUUCCACUGCAGUUUGUAGAUGAGCCACGCCAGAAGCCUGCAGUACAGCAUCAGACGUACAAACAAAAGAAAUUUCUCUUGUGAGUGGUUUGCUGAGACUGCAAUGCUGUGAGGAGCACUGUUUAGUAAGGGAAACACAUUUUGUCAUUAACUUAUUAAUGAUUGUGGAGAUGUGGCAUUGUGCAUUGAUUUGGAGAACACCAGACUUCAACUGUACAGCUUCAAAUAUUUCACUUAGCAGCUGUGCCCUCUGUGUGUAGGCAUGUGCAUUCAGACCUUUUCUGGUGAUGGUUUUUACUAGCUGGAGGAGGUUGUUGGAGUCCUCACUGCAAACAGUGUUUCCAAAAGUGAGACUAUCGCAGAAAGCACAACAUAAGCAUUGACAAAAAGCAUCAAAUGCACAUGUGUUCAGCAAAGAGAUUUUUGAUUUCCCAAUUUUAACAGGCUGUUGAUUAUUUCCAUUUUUUAACAGUUCCACUUUUAGUUUUUUCCCUUUCACAGAUGAAUCUGCAUGGAGCCAUUCAGGACAGGGAGAGAGGUAUGAACUCAUCUUCCUCUUUUUGGGUGGAACUGCUAGGCCUCUCCAGUUUUCAACCGCAUCUUCAUCGGCUGGAUGGAUGUUUAUGACAGCAUCAGAGGUCUCAGAACAGGAAGCAUCCAUUUCUGGCUUUACAUCUACACUGCAAGUUGUGAACAAAUUCGCAUGUUGCCUUCAAUGAAGGACAGAUGUUGAGCAAUGAAUCUAUCCACCCUAAUUGGCAAGUUUUCAUGCUUGAAAAGGCCGCGCUUGAUGUUUUUGAAUUCUGCUUCAACAUUAGCUGAACUUGCGGUAAUGUUGGUGCUUCGGAAGUGAGGGACCAUUACUGCUGUCCAGAGUGGCAAGUAACUUGCAAGCCAGAUUAUAUUAGGAAUAAUCUCAGGGAGGAAGUGCAUAUUAUCGUGAUCACCAUUACCGCUGGCAAGCGACCUGCUCUCUUCACAUAUGUCUAUGACCCACUGCCGUAGGUCUGUCUGUGUUUGGUCACAUGGAUCCUCUUCUCCCAGGUCCUUGCCCUCUAGAUCUGGGAUGAUGACACACUCUUCUGCAAUCCGGGAUUUCAGCACCCCCACUGGCAGAUCGUCUUGAUGCAGUGUGCAACAUCAACCCGAACAAAACAAGGUGGCACUUUUGCUGACUGUUUACCAAGUAAGACACCACAACACUCAUUGAUGUAGCUCUUCAGAUCAGGAUAUGGAGUGAAAGCCUUGACCAGAGCUCCGAGCAAAGCUAGAGAAAAGUCACUCACAACCUCUUUUGGAGUUGGUGCACCUGCACGUAUCCACUCUUUCAACCAAUGUGUUAUUGCAUUAACAUCAUGUCUCUCUGACAGCAUUUGCACCACUGGGACACUAGAGCUCUCCUCUCCUGCCAGAACUCCCUGAUAUAAAAAGAUAUGGCCAGACAUGCCAGUUGGUCUUGUUAGUUUCCUCACUACUGAGCCAGUUGCAUCAAAACUGACAGUGGGGGUGGCCAAAUUAGGGAGAUGACUUGGCUCAGGAUCUCCAAAAUCCAUCAAUUUUGUUGCCUCUGUUGCCCUCCAGACAUGGGGUUCCAUUCUACCCUCACACAGUUCUUUGGCUAUCUGCACACGCAAAUUACCAGACAUUGCACGCUUUGAACCACCAGUGUGCAGGGAGUUAUCUGUGUUUUUAAUUAAACACUUAAACACCAUUGGGCUGUUUAUUUCAGGCUCUUUGUCGCAUUUCAUGUGAAUCAGGCCAUUGCACUCCUUACAGUUACCUCUGAUUUCAAUGUAUUUCUCUGUUGCUGACGGAUAGACCUUGGCUCUUUUAAAGGCAAAAGUGCAGGGGCUUUUCACCUCUUGCCAAAUGUAAUGAUUUAUCACAUGUGUCCAGUUGCCAGGCUUCAAAACUGUGUAUUCCCUUUUUUGUGUUUUACUGAACUUGUUUUUGUAUUCAACCGUUUCAGGGAUGAAUUCAAUCCAUUUCUGAAAUGGAACUUCAAGACCAAAAGCCCAGCAAUCUUUUGGUCUUUGGGAAAGGGACCCUGGCUCAAAAUCAGUGUCAUCACUACUGCCACUUGCUUCAUGAUCACUUUCAUAAGUAAACUCUAAAGCAGCCCAGAUGUUGUGUCUGUUUAAUUUAACAAACGUGUAUAGCGCCUUUGGGGUGAUCUUGUUUUCUAGCUGCUUACUAAGCUCUGUCCAGAUGCUCUGACUGGGAGUAGCUAUGUUGCCAUUUUGGACUAUGGCCUCUUUUGAUAAACACAGCACUGUGAAAAUGGACUCCUUGUCAACCACUGGUUUCUUGGGCAUCUGGCAUAAGCAAAACAUAAUUACUUAAUGUCAUAGAGUAAACUUGUUUUCAUAUUUUACUGUAUGGGUCUGAAUAUUUGUAUAAUUUAAUAUAGUUAUAACAUAAUGUAUCCUAUAUUAGGACAUAUGGUAGAUGCACAAUGUAUUUAAAUACCCAAAAUAGGUGACAUGAGUUUUCUGUUCAACACACAUUGACAAUCUUAGCUCUUUUGAAUGUUGUACCAUUAUCCUUGAACUUAGCUUAUAAUAUUGUUACUGACAGUGUUAAAACAUACUUACAUUGGCCAGAAAAUAUAUUUCCUCCACCAACUCUAGACUGGUUUAGAGCCUCUUACGCGCCUAGUGUUAGGAGUAGUGUUGCAAGUGAUAGGGUGGAGUGGGGAGAGCGCCCCCUUGAGGCAAAAGCAAAUGGCUGGCUGAAUUCAGAAUCGCAUUUGAAGAUGCAUUCCUUAUAUUAUUUGUACCAUGAAACCUCUUUGCUUUGUUACUUAUAUGUGAGGGAAGUAGCAUUAAUCCAAUCGCAAGUGAUCAUCAUGAGGCAAAUCAUGCACCUGAAUGUGUGUUAGAAACAAGUUUGUAUAGUGUUUAUAAUCUAUGCUAAUAGUAGGUGGAGGUAAAUGCACUAUUUUCAGGGCACAUUUUAGAGAAUAAAAAUGACUCGCUGUGACUUAGCAGUAGAGAUUUUAUUUUUUCUUUAACAACAAAAAUCACAAUUCUUUCCAAAAUUUUCUUUACAAUACCAAAAGGAAAAACAAAAAAGACUUGGUAGUUAUAUUUACGUUUCUGUGCACAAAUAUAUUAACAUAUGCAGUAUUGUAAUUUCAUAAUUUCUUCACAAAGUCAAAGAAUUAUCAUUAAUAAAUCAAUAAUUAUGGUCAAUGAUCAUCCAAACAACAAUAACAUUAACUGUUCUUCUUGGUUUUAUAUAUUAUGAGAAUGAAUUAUAUAUUUUAUCUUAAUCUUCACAAGCCAUUUUCAUAAUUUACAAUAAAUAAUAAUGACCGAAAAGGGUGUAGGCUGAAGAAUUUGCUUAUUACACCUACCCUAUAUACAUCAUUAAAUAAGCGACAUUUUCUCACAAUAUAUUAUAAUAUGAUUCUUAUAAAGAAAACACUUACAAAGUAAAGAAAACAUUUACAUGAAAAAGACAAUUUAAUUCAUAAUAACCAGGUACAUGUUUCGUAUUGUUAAUUUCAAUAAAAACAUUGGAGAA